GGGCAACCCUGGUGGCGAGUGGCGAACGGGUGAGUAAUACAUCGGAACGUGUCCUGGAGUGGGGGAUAGCCCGGCGAAAGCCGGAUUAAUACCGCAUACGCUCUAAGGAGGAAAGGGGGGGAUCUUCGGACCUCUCGCUCAAGGGGCGGCCGAUGGCAGAUUAGCUAGUUGGUGGGGUAAAGGCCUACCAAGGCGACGAUCUGUAGCUGGUCUGAGAGGACGACCAGCCACACUGGGACUGAGACACGGCCCAGACUCCUACGGGAGGCAGCAGUGGGGAAUUUUGGACAAUGGGCGCAAGCCUGAUCCAGCAAUGCCGCGUGUGUGAAGAAGGCCUUCGGGUUGUAAAGCACUUUUGUCCGGAAAGAAAACCUCGUGGUUAAUACCCGUGGGGGAUGACGGUACCGGAAGAAUAAGCACCGGCUAACUACGUGCCAGCAGCCGCGGUAAUGCGUAGGGUGCAAGCGUUAAUCGGAAUUACUGGGCGUAAAGCGUGCGCAGGCGGUUCGCUAAGACAGAUGUGAAAUCCCCGGGCUUAACCUGGGAACUGCAUUUGUGACUGGCGGGCUAGAGUAUGGCAGAGGGGGGUAGAAUUCCACGUGUAGCAGUGAAAUGCGUAGAGAUGUGGAGGAAUACCGAUGGCGAAGGCAGCCCCCUGGGCCAAUACUGACGCUCAUGCACGAAAGCGUGGGGAGCAAACAGGAUUAGAUACCCUGGUAGUCCACGCCCUAAACGAUGUCAACUGGUUGUCGGGCCUUCAUUGGCUCGGUAACGUAGCUAACGCGUGAAGUUGACCGCCUGGGGAGUACGGUCGCAAGAUUAAAACUCAAAGGAAUUGACGGGGACCCGCACAAGCGGUGGAUGAUGUGGAUUAAUUCGAUGCAACGCGAAAAACCUUACCUACCCUUGACAUGGUCGGAAUCCUGCUGAGAGGCGGGA
Molecule: ribosomal RNA, 939 nt
Filed under: uncultured bacterium
Lineage: Bacteria
Description: bacterial SSU rRNA
Rfam family: Bacterial small subunit ribosomal RNA
Source: RNAcentral